This 449-nucleotide ribosomal RNA is filed under the name uncultured Bacteroidota bacterium. RNAcentral describes it as "bacterial SSU rRNA". It matches the Rfam family "Bacterial small subunit ribosomal RNA", at positions 1072 to 1533 of the family's 1533-position model. The record is from RNAcentral. Lineage: Bacteria; Pseudomonadati; Bacteroidota.
GAGGGUGGGUAGUCCGCACGAGCGCACCCUAUCUUUAUUGCCAGCACAUUAUGGUGGGGACUCUAAAGAAACUGCCCGCGCAAGCGGUGAGGAAGGUGGGGAUGACGUCAAAUCAUCACGGCCCUUACGUCCUGGGCCACACACGUGCUACAAUGGUAGGUACAAAGGGCAGCUACUUGGCGACAAGAUGCUAAUCUCUAAAACCUAUCUCAGUUCGGAUUGGAGUCUGAAACUCGACUCUAUGAAGCUGGAAUCGCUAGUAAUCGGAUAUCAGCCAUGAUCCGGUGAAUACGUUCCCGGGCCUUGUACACACCGCCCGUCAAGCCAUGGAAGCUGGGAGUGCCUGAAGUCGGUAACCGUAAGGAGCUGCCUAGGGUAAAACUGGUAACUGGGGCUAAGUCGUAACAAGGUAGCCGUACCGGAAGGUGCGGCUGGAACACCUCCUUUUU